UAUCCGGCCGGCUCGCAGUAUGUUGGUUUAUUUUGUUCUAGUUUGUAAUUUUAUCCGAUUUCAUUUUUUUUUAAAUUCCCGACGUGUCCCGUCCCCGCUGCCUGGUUCUGGCGAACCGGGUGCCGGCUCUGGUCUCUGCCGUUCAACGCCCCGGCGGCACGGCUGAGGUUUUUAAUUGAAUUAAUGCACCCACCGGGAGCAGCAGCGAACUGCGCUGGCUGCUGGAGGCGAGUGGCUUAGCUCCGCUCCGCAGCCCGCCGCUCACACGGCUGGUUAAGCAGCUCUUCCCUCAAUUUUCUGCCAAAGCUUCCCCGGAGAGGGUCCGACGGAGCCCCACUCCUUCACCCCGCGCCUUCCAACCCCCUUUUACCUUCUUUCCCCCCUUCUUCCCCCGGGGACUACGGGCUCCGUUUUAUUACCUUUAUUUUUAUUAUUAUUAUUGCUGUUGGAAUUUAUUUUUCUCUUUUAAUAAGGGAGCUUUCCCAGAUCUGGAGGCACAACUGGUUAUUUUGAUUUGAUUGACAAGUGAUGUCAUAUCAUUAAGGGAGGGGGGAGACGACAGCAUGUUUUAGCAACAGUUAGUAGCGCCAUGUGAUAGAGUUGACACCUAUUCUUGGGCAGAGGAGAAGGCAGAAAACAAAUAAGCCGGCGCCGCACGCGCACCGGAGAGGGGAAUCUUCCUCUUUUGUUUCCCCCCUUCAUUCUGGGUAUUUGGAUCUGGGAAAAAUUGUACUUGAGGAGAACCCGCAGACCCCAAGGCACGUUCCUGCAGACACCCCUUUCCUAGGGUGCCCCCGGCGACCCCCAGGGCCACACUCUGUCCCAGUGAACGGAGACCGGGGGGCCGAGACCUCCUGGGCAGCAUUGCCCGCUGCCUCCCCGAGGUGCAGCCCACAGACGCCAGCAGGGAGGGCAGGAAAACUCCGUGAAAAGAAAGAAGAAGAGGGAGAGAAGUGCUCAGUGCUUAGCACCGCACGGGGCAGCGGCGCUCCCUGUGCCAGCGGGCAAUGUGAGAGCCCCGGGCGGGCUGGGGAAGGGGCUGCUCGCCGGCGAGGAGGGGGCUGGGAGGGUCUGCUGUGGGCGUCCCGCCCCUGCUCUGCCAGCAGGUAGGAGCCCUGGGCAGCCGGUCCCUGCGAGCAGCCUCCUCACCCGCAUCGGGUAUAUUUCCUUGGAUUUUUGUGGGGAGAGAAAGUUCUUGCUUUCUGCCUUAAAAAAAAAAUAAUUCUCUGUGUUUUCGGCCCUCUGGUCUUGUCUCCGCUUUGCUUUUCGUCUCCCCCGGCUCCCCUGUCCUGCGUUACUAGCUCGAAUUAAUGGCUCCUGAUAGGGUUAUAAAGUGACACAGUUACCUCGUAACCACAAGACCCUUACAUAAACUGCAUUAAGGAAAAACAAAAAGAAAGAAAAACGCAAAGGCGCGUUAGAGAUACGACUAGGGAAAUAAAUCACGGAAAAUUUAAUUUUUUGCUUGUUUUGGUAAAUACACUAUCCUCCAUCCCGCAGAGGAUUUCUGCGGGGUUUGUACCCCACCGUGGGAACCCUCGGUCCCACUCUCGCUCCCGACACGCUCCCGCACACGCCUUCACCUGCGCUUUGUCCGCAAUUUGCCUGGUGCCCGCAGCCCCCCGGCUGGCUAGGCUGCAACAUAAAGGGGAGGAAAAGCCUCAAGCAGACCCCAGCCUGGCCACAAAACCGCCUUUUGUGUAAAAGUUCCCGAAGAUAAAUGCGUGCGUGGGGAAGGGGGAGGUUGGACACGCGCAGCUUUGUCCAGAAAAAGGUUAUUUCGGAAGGAGUUGUUGUAGGAGGGAGGGACGAGGCCGACCCCGCAGCCUGAGCACCCCAAAGCAAAAGGAGGAUAAAGAGGGGAACUUUGCACAUACAAAAAACAGAAGAAAAAAAAAAGGCGAAGGGGUGAAAGAGUCGGCGGAGAGGAGCGGCCGUGCCCCGAUGUGCCUGGGAAGAAGGAGACGCUGUCGGCAGCCGCGUCCCGAGAUCGCCCGGCACGGAACGACUCCAAAACGAGGAACUGUCGCUCAGGCGGAAAAACUACUGGAAAAGUGGGGUUUGAAGGCUGCAGAUUUUUCCCCAAGAGGGGUCAGACGGGGGUGUGCGAGCCGGGGGCUCAGGGGGCUGAGACCGGAGCAGUGCCCACCCGAGCCUCACCGCGCUGUGCCUGCUCUCCAGCCGCGCCGUCCCGGGACAGCCGGGGUCACCCCUCCACGUUCCACCAGAGACAUUGGGGGUCGCACGGGCAGGGAGUCAGGAUUUUCCCCUCAUGCCCGCUGGAAAAGAAGGAUGUUUUUCUUUCCUGUUAAGCUUUCGUACUAAAGAUGUCAUCUGAAAGUCUGGGAGGAAGGGGGACCGUGCUCUGCUCUCUUUCACGGUAACAACCAUAUCAUAUUGAAAAAUAUGAUAGACAGUGGGGGAAGAUUUCCUCCCCCAUUAAAAAAAAAAAAAAAGAAAAGGAAAAAACCCCAACCUUUUCAAUAUUGAUUAAAAAAAAAAAAAAAAGGGAGAGAAUUUUAAAAGAGAAGAAGCAGCACCAGCAGCAAGGAGAAUAUAGGCUCAGCAGCUCUCCAGGUUAGCUUCCUUAUUAUUACUAUCCAGGGGUAAUUUUUCAUCUCUGCUAGCUAAUCUUUGUUCCUUGUGAAGAUAAUGAAUAGCCCAAUCCUUAUCUCCUGGGCUCCUGGAGGCUGCUGGAGAAUGGGGUUGAACAGGGUUGAAAAUUGGUUCCAAAGUGCUGCUGAAUAAAUGGUGUUCCUUAUCUCUCGCUUCCAGAUUAUCGGAACCCUUUCAAAACUCACACAACAAAUACAGCCACCGCAUCUAAUGCAUCAUUUACCAGAGCAGAUCUCCGCGUUUGAUCGGCAGAUAGGCAAAAUCUAUGUAUUCCUUGCUUUACUUAGUAUGCAUGGAUGCGGGGCUGCUGUGCACGAGGGUUGCCCCCGGCCGGGCCUGGGACACCCCCGAGGCUCUUGGCACACACGGGUCUUCGCUGUGGAUUCUGUGAGUGACAAGAGUGUCCCCUGCCUAUCCCUGAUCCAGGGGAGCCGGGUGGGACAGCAGCUCAGAGUGCAGGGUGCUGCCACACAGCAUGCUUGGAAAUUUGGACUUGCUCUGCUGAGGUACUGGUGGAUUUGCAGGGAAGGGAGAAGAGUUGUGAACAUCAUCCUGGGCACCUCAGGCACCUGCUCUUAUUCACACUCACUCCUGCACCCAGAGCCUCCUUCACCUGCAUCCCUGGGCAGCCACUGCUUCAGGAGUGAUGAAGCGUGUGGCAGCACCUCUGUCCCCAUGCAGAAAGCCACGGCCAGGCUCAGCUGUGUCCCAGUUCUGCCCCUGCCUCAGCAGUCUCAGCGUCCAGCUGGGUCAAUCUAGUGAAAACUCCCGGGGCUCCCCCCAGCUUGUUCCCCCCAAACCCUGGCCAUGGAGCCCUGCCAGUCCCUUGGGUCCUUCACGUGCUGGGCUGGGUGACCCCUCCACCUCCCAGCCACAGGCAGAACAGGGCACCUGAGACAGCCCAAAUUUGGGAAGCAAUUAGUGAUUUUGAAGGACAAAAAUAAACCUUAUAGAAGGGGAGUUAUUUUCUCCUAGAGUUAGUGUGAAGUCUGUCCCUUCCAGCUCAGGACAGUAUCAGAUUUUUCUUCCUUUCUUUCUCUCUUCCUCUCUUUUUUUAAUUUUCUCUUUAUUUCUUGUUUCUUAUUCUGUCUUUUUUUUUUUUUUUCAUUUUUUCCUUUUUCCCUCCCAAAACCUGUCUAUAUAACCGUAAAUGUCUCCCAGUCCAGGUGUGCAGCCCCCAGCUCCAGAGCCAGGGACAGAUGUCCCUUUGGCUCACCCAACCCUUCUUUCCUCUGGCAGUACCUGAGCUUGUGCCAGGAACCAGACAAGGAAACAUUUUAUUCUGCACCACUGCAGCACAUGACAUAUUGCUAGCACUGCCCUGGACCCCCAGACCAGGGGGACAGCAAGAUUCUGGCUUGGGGACAGGACACCCACAGUCUUCUGGUCUCCUCUGCCUGUCCAGCAAAGCUCAUCUCAUCCCUGCCUGGAAAGAGAGAGAAACUUUGAUGGGAUGUUGCAGGCAAGCAGCAGCCCCUGCCCGCGCUUGAAAGUUUUGCAAAUGUUCAACUUGUACUAAUUUUGUAUGGCUGUAUUCACAGUUGUUCUCUGUAAAAAAUGGACCUGUGUUAGUUUAUUAAUAACCUAAACAUUACGCAUUAAAGACCUAUGAGUGACACAAGAUGACAAAAA
This is a long non-coding RNA of Haemorhous mexicanus (house finch), 4248 nucleotides long. RefSeq lists it as uncharacterized. NCBI's taxonomy places the organism in Eukaryota, Metazoa, Chordata, Aves, Passeriformes, Fringillidae. The record is from RefSeq and is a predicted model, not a curated record. The transcript is spliced from 4 exons.